CCGACCAUAGCUCAGUUGGUAGAGCGGAGGACUGUAGAGUUGCAGGUAUCCUUAGGUCACUGGUUCGAAUCCGGUUGGUCGGA
RNAcentral lists this transfer RNA (83 nucleotides) under Physcomitrium patens. RNAcentral describes it as "Physcomitrella patens tRNA". It matches the Rfam family "tRNA". From Rfam's summary of the family: Transfer RNA (tRNA) molecules are approximately 80 nucleotides in length. Their secondary structure includes four short double-helical elements and three loops (D, anti-codon, and T loops). Lineage: Eukaryota; Viridiplantae; Streptophyta; Bryopsida; Funariales; Funariaceae. The record is from Rfam by way of RNAcentral.